Molecule: long non-coding RNA, 1538 nt
Filed under: Eucalyptus grandis
Lineage: Eukaryota; Viridiplantae; Streptophyta; Magnoliopsida; Myrtales; Myrtaceae
Description: long non-coding RNA (EGRA_LNC001687)
Source: RNAcentral
CGCCGCUCGCACGCCCGCGCCCGCGCUCGUGCGCGCGCCGCUCGCCGCCGUGCACCGCCAGCCCUUUCCUCCGCCCAGACGUUCUUCCCCCGAGCGGACCCAGCUCUGUUCGCCUCUGCCCAGCCUCCGUCCGGCCACCUCCGGCCACCGCCCAGCCUCGCCGGACCUUCCCGGCGUCCCCCUUGCUCUCCGCCGGCCUCCCCUCGCCGUUUUGGCCGCCGGAUCUGCUCCGACCAGCCAAGGGCAGAGACCCACGAAAUGGGUUUCCAGCACCUUUGAGCUCGCUUUUGGGCCGUUUCCCGGCUCCGAACCCGAGCCGUGCUUUGGGAACAAUCGUUCCUCGCGUCGCCGCCGUCGGAUUGAUCCGAUUUGCGCGCGAUUUGGUGAGUAAUCUCACUAAUCCUGGAUUAGUUGGCUAAUUAUGCUUAAGGUUGGUUUAGUUUUAAUUAAUUAUGUUUAGGUUGUUAGAUUUAAAUAAAUUAGCAAUUAUUAGUCAAUUGUGAUGUGAUUUAGAUAAAUUGAUUGUGCAAUUAGCAAGUAGACGUGGUCUACUAUUUAUUGGAAGUGUCUCGGGAAUUUUCCGAUCCCUAAUCGGGCUUCAAUUUGGCGAUUCGGGCCUAAGUGGGAUUUUUGGCAUUUAAAUAUUAUUUUUCGGAAUUAAAUUAAUUAAUUAUUUAUUUUCCGAAAAUUCAACUGAGAUGGUUCGGAACCGGAAAAUUAUGCUGAUGAUCGUGAUGCAGUCCGUUUAUUUAAUUGAGCUUUAUAUUGUGCUAAAUUGAAUUUAUUGUAUUUAUUUAUUUAAUUUUCGAAAUUAAUUAUUUAAUUAUUUAUUUUCCGGAAAUUCAACUAGGAUGGCCAGUGACCGGAAUUUCGUGCUGAUUGCAAUGGUGUGGUUAAUUUCUGCAAUUGAAUGUUAAAUUAUGCAAAUUGAGUAUUGAUUUGACUUUUGGUAUUUAAUUCCAAAAAUUGUGAAUUUCCAAUAUUUAUUCAGAGAAUCCCAGGUGUCGGGUUUUGACACCGAAAAUGGUUUUUAGUACUGUAUGAAAUAGUGGGAUUUCAAAAAGGAUGAAUAUCAAUUUUUUUGGAUCAAGUUGGCCAUGUACCCACACACGAGUAAUUUCAUGUGAAUUUCUAAUACGAAGAAAAAGGCCAGGCUCACCAUUUUAAUUGAAGCAUUUGAGUGCAAUGCACGGUGCCCUGGGCCAUAUUUGAGUGAUCGUGUGAUAGUUAUGAGAAAUCGUCCCGGGCUGUUGAGCUGGACGUUAUCCCUAUGUGGGAUACCCCUUGGACAACGGGAAGCCGGUCGCAGUUGAUUCUGGACCCUAUGCUCCUUCGGGAAUGCCGUCGACGUAGUGACGAAGCCGUGCUCCAAGGGGGGAGACGAUGCUCCUUCGGGAAUGCCGUCGACGUAAUGACGAAGCCGCGCUCCAUGGGGGGAGGCGAUGCCUGGCAAUGCCAGAAGACCGCCGAACUGAGAGUAGGUCGUGCUAUAUGCCGAGAUCAAAUCUAAGAAUGCAUGAUUAAUUGAGUGUGAGAAU